GACAAGAUAGUUUAUUUGGUACAGGAACUGGAACGCAAUAUUUUGGAUGUUGCGGGUUCGAAUCCUGCUCGUGUCG
This 76-nucleotide transfer RNA is filed under the name Danaus plexippus plexippus. It matches the Rfam family "tRNA". Rfam says of the family: Transfer RNA (tRNA) molecules are approximately 80 nucleotides in length. Their secondary structure includes four short double-helical elements and three loops (D, anti-codon, and T loops). Lineage: Eukaryota; Metazoa; Arthropoda; Insecta; Lepidoptera; Nymphalidae. The record is from Rfam by way of RNAcentral.